Molecule: RNA transcript, 5123 nt
Organism: Pezoporus occidentalis (night parrot)
Lineage: Eukaryota; Metazoa; Chordata; Aves; Psittaciformes; Psittacidae
Gene: NR2C1
Gene name: nuclear receptor subfamily 2 group C member 1
Exons: 16
Source: RefSeq, a predicted model, not a curated record
GGUGAGGGGCGGGGCGGCGCUGAGCCGAGGGGGCGGGGUCACGAACUCUGACCUCCGGGAGCCGGAGCCGCCGCUACCACCGCCGCCGCCAAAUAAACCGGCCGAAGAGGCCGCCGGACCCACCAGGAAAUUCUGGUGAUUAAAGAUCAUGGCAACCAUAGAGGAACUGGCCCAUCAAAUUAUUGAACCGCAGAUGGGAGAGAUUGCCCAUUCCCAGGAAGCAGUUUCACAAACACUAAUGGAUGGGACACCACAGCGAAUACAGAUUGUCCCUGCGGAUUCAGGCCUCUCUUUACCACAACGUAUACAGAUUGUCACAGAUCAGCAGACGGGCCAGAAGAUUCAGAUUGUUACAGCACUUGAUCAGAGCACACCAGGCAAGCAGUUCAUCUUAACAAAUCAUGAUGGCUCUACCCCAAGCAAGGUGAUUCUUGCCAGACAAGAUUCCACUCCAAGAAAAGUUAUCCUGGCAACUCCAGAUGCUGCAGGUGUCAACCAACUGUUUCUUGCAUCCCCUGAUAUAUCUGCACAACACAUCCAGAUUUUAACAGACAACUCCCCCAGUGAACAGGGCCUAAAUAAAGUGUUUGAUCUGUGUGUUGUAUGUGGAGACAAGGCAUCAGGGCGUCACUAUGGAGCAGUAACUUGUGAGGGAUGCAAGGGAUUCUUUAAAAGGAGCAUACGGAAGAAUUUAGUUUAUUCAUGCCGAGGAGCAAAAAACUGUGUCAUUAACAAACGCCACCGGAAUCGAUGUCAGUACUGUAGGCUGCAGAGAUGCAUCGCGUUUGGGAUGAAACAAGAUUCUGUGCAGUGUGAGAGGAAACCUAUUGAAGUGUCAAGAGAAAAAUCUUCAAACUGUGCAGCUUCCACAGAAAAGAUCUACAUUCGGAAAGAUCUUCGUAGUCCAUUAGCUGCAACUCCAACUUUUAUAACAGACAAUGAAACAGCAAGAUCAACAGGUCUGCUGGAAUCAGGAAUGUUGGUUAACAUUCAUCAGUCUGCAGUAAAAACUGAACCUACUGUAAUGAUGACUCCAGAAAAGGUUGAAGCCUGUCAGGGAGAUCUAAGUACACUGGCAAACGUGGUGACUUCAUUAGCGAAUCUCAGUAAAUGCAAAGACAUGUCACAAAGCAGUACAGACCUAUCUAUGAUUGAGAGCUUAAGUAAUGGAGAUGCAUCAUUAUCUGAACUCAAGCAAGAUGAACAAGCUAGUACUGAUGUUUCAAGGGCAUUUGAUACUCUUGCGAAAGCAUUAAAUCCAGGGGAGAGUGCAGCAUGCCAGAACUCAGAAAGUAUUGAUGCCAGUGUACAGCUGAUUGGUGGAGAAUCAAGCCUGAACAUCGUUGAAAUAGAGGGACCACUACUCAGUGAUGCACAUGUAGCAUUCAGGCUCACCAUGCCUUCUCCUAUGCCUGAGUAUCUUAACGUUCACUAUAUCUGUGAAUCUGCCUCCAGGCUGCUUUUCUUGUCCAUGCACUGGGCACGUUCUAUUCCGUCUUUCCAAGCAUUAGGGCAGGACAACAGCAUAUCAUUAGUAAAAGCCUGCUGGAACGAACUUUUCACGCUUGGUCUUGCACAAUGCUCACAAGUUAUGAAUGUGGCAACUAUAUUAGCUGCAUUUGUUAAUCACCUUCAUGGCAGCUUACAGCAAGAUAAGCUGCCAACAGACAGAGGAAAACUAGUAAUGGAGCAUAUCUUCAAAUUGCAAGAGUUCUGCAACAGCAUGGUUAAGCUUUGCCUAGAUGGAUAUGAAUAUGCAUAUUUGAAAGCAAUCGUCCUCUUCAGUCCUGAUCAUCCAGGUCUAGAAAAUGUGGUACAGAUUGAGAAAUUUCAAGAAAGAGCUUACAUGGAGUUCCAAGACUACGUAACAAAAGCAUAUCCAGAUGAUACUUACAGACUGUCUAGACUUCUUCUCAGAUUGCCUGCUCUGAGGCUGAUGAGUGCUGCCAUCACUGAAGAGCUGUUCUUUGCAGGACUGAUUGGCAACGUUCAGAUUGACAGCAUCAUCCCAUAUAUUCUGCGAAUGGAGACAACGGACUACAACUCUCAGAUAAUCAGUCAUACCAUAUAAAAGUACUAGUCAAGUAUUCCAUACCAUGGCAGUCAUGGUGAUGUAAAUGCAUACCCUGUCUCCAAGAGAUGGCAAUAAGCCUUCCCAUGCACCUUUUCAAAGAAGGCUAAUAUUCCUCCUUUCCAGUACACUUGGGAAACGUGAUGGACUGUAUUAAGGAAUAUAGGAUCAUUUCCUAUUUUUCAUCUGAUCUUCAAGGACUUGUAAAUUUACUUGGUAUCUGAAGAAAGUCAAGAAUUGUCCAUCCUAUUUUUAUAGAUAGAUAACUUGGAAUAUUUGUUUAUGAAGUCCAAGCUUGUGAAGAAACUGAAGAAGCAAUGACUGAACUAAGCAACACUGGGUGUGGAAGAGCCUCAGCAACACACAUAUGAUGGCACCAGGAAUUGCUCAGCCAAAAGAUCAUCUUAAAUGGGGGCCUUUGCCCACUCUGCACCAGAAGGUCCAAGGCCACCCUAACACCAGGAGACUACUAGAUGAGGCUACUGUAGUUUUUCUCAGCACCUGAGGACCUCAGCCAGCCAAAAAGAAUUGGUGAACUGCCUCUGACACUGAGUUUCUGUGUUCUUUUCAAUUCCACUACCUGAGCUGUUUGGAUCUUCUUCCACCCAAGCUAUGUAAUUUGAGGCUUUACUACAGGAUCGGUCACAGCCAACACCACAGACAAAGCACUCACUGCAGAGGACCCCUGAUGGGAUGGCAGCAUCUGCCCUGCUCUGCCCUGGCAUUUACUGACUUGCUGGAGUACUGACCUGCCUUCAGUGUCGGAGCUGGCCGUGUCUGCUGAGCUCUUCCCACAUUCCACCUUUCAAAGGAUGCAGGAUGCAAGCUCUUCAUCUGGGUCCCCUUGGAGAGCAAUGUGAGGACUGUUGGGUCUUGGGAGGUAUGCAUCUCAUCAGCAGGGUUUAUGGAUGUACAAAAGAGUUGCUGCCGAUACACUGUGCUUGUUCUCUCCCCAAGGGUUAGAGGCCCAGCUUGCCAUCAGUAGGACCAAGUUGCAGAUGGCAGGUGUAUAACUCUUCAUCUCUUCUUGGAAAUUCUGACCCUGCUUGCUAGCCCUUUGCUGUCUUUGACCUGCUUCUAGCACUAACAGGCAUGGGAGAUUUACAGUCCUCUGUGUUAAACUUUUUAAGGAAGCUGAUGGCACAUUAUUCCUGAGUAUUUUGGAAAGUGGUUUCCCAGGUAUUCUAAUAAUCUUGGAAGAGUUUUACUCCAGUAUUCUCCACACUCAUGUAACCCAGAUAAUAGUAAGAAAUAAUAUCUUGUUUCCCUUCUAAACGCAGUACAUUGUGCAAAUGUCUCUCCCAUCCUUACAGAAAUCUUUUACUCCAUCGUUUGAGCCUCAGGUGUCAUACACAGUUCUUGGUUUACAGCUGGUCAAAAGAUUUGGCUCACACAGCCUCUUGCAUGGGACUGUCCUGUUUCAGAGACAAACUGAGAAAAUACGAGUCUUUCUGCAGAUACUAGUCUUCAGUGACUGAAUCCUUUGGCUCAUUUCUUUUUAUCAUAGAACAGUCCAGGUUGGAAGGGACCUGAAAAGAUCAUCCAGUGCAACCUUCCAUGGGAAAGGGAGCCUAGAUGAGAUUAUCUAGCACUCUGUCCAGUCGCAUCUUGGAAGCUUCCACUGGUGGGGACUCCACUGCAUCCCUGGGGAGGUUGUUGCCGUUACUGAUUGUUCUCAGCAUAAGCAAAUUCUUUCUUAUAUCCAGAUCUCCAAGAUUUUCCAAAGAUUAUAGACAGUUGCCUUGCACAAGUGUCAGACACUUAAUACCUUAGGGUGGAUUUCUUCUGGGUCUAUGGAUUUUUUUGAGUUGAGCCCUUGCAGGAGGCUGCAGACCAGUCCUUCCUCUACUGCUGGUGGGUCAACACAUUGUCAUAGCUAUUUGAUCCUGUGCUCUGUGGUCCAGCUCUACUGGUAAAGACAGGCAAAGAAGAUGCCGAGAACCUCUGCCUUGUCAGCAUGACCACUGAGUAUUUUCCCUGCCCUGUUAGGCAAUAGGUCUGCAUCUUCCCUGUGCUUCUGCUUACUGCUCAUAUAUAUCUGAAGAACCCUUUUUUCUUGUUCUUGACAUCUUUGCCCAAUUUCAGCUCUAGCUGAGCCCUGGCCUUCCUAACCACAUCUCUGCAUACCCUUUUAAUCCCUGAUGGGUAUUUAGCUGCUUUCCAUAGGUGGUAUGCUGAGGUUUUGCCUUUUUUUUUUCUUUUCUUUUUUUGUCAGAGUGCUGUUUUGGAUGAGAUGACCUCAGAACCUUAUUUUCUCUGGAUUUCUAUUCUUGCUUCCUCUUUGUGCCCUAGUCUGUUUGCAUACAAGUUAGCCUACUUCAAUAACGUGUGCCCUGCCAUUACCACUGACUGCUGGGUCGUGACUACUUUCCUAGGAUGUGUUAACUCAAAAGCACAAGAACCUUGGUCCUAUUUCCCAUCAGGUUGUUUAAAUUCAGGUGUUUGUUGGGCAAAAAACAUUUUAUGAUUCUGGAUACCUCUGACAUUUGGACCUCCACAAAGCAGCUGUGCACACAGCACAUUGCAAAGAGCUCUGGCUACUGGUAAGUAACCUUUUAUCCAAAAAGUUUUCUUACAUUUUUUCAUGACAGUAAAUUUUCAUCCUAAGUUAGGUAUUGAUUUAAAGGUAAGGUGCAGCUGUUUUAUGCUGCCUGACAAGUAAUCUUUCUCGUCUUCAUGACGAGCUAGAAGCUGGAUACCAUACUGCAGGUUGUUGCUUCAGUGUUACUUUGCUUAUGAAGAUUUUUCAUAAUUUAAAAAUCAUUAAUCAUUCUUAAGCUAUAAAUUCAUGCUUUUGAUAAGGAAUGAGGCAUAACUGGGUUUUCUCAGGAAUGGGAGCUUUAAAACAGGUAAAUUAAUACAGGGAUGAACAUGUUUCUUCCUUAUUUCUGGAUGUUAAGCACUGUGGUCAUUGAGAAUAACGCAACAGCUCAUAGGAAGGCGAAACACAAGUUCUGGUUUUGUUUGUUUUGCUUUUUUAAGAUAACUGCUGCUCAGUUAAAUGGAGCAUAUUGUUAUCUUCAUCUCAGACCUUCAGUGUUUCCAAUACCUA